UGAAAUGUCAAAAUCUGCUGUUUUCCCAAGAGUUCCUGUUUGGCUUUCAUAAACAUUUAAUAGCAACUUGUACUUCUAAUAGAAAGUUUUAUAUGAAAAAAUGAUUAAUUACUAAUUUCAAAUACUUGGAUUAGCUUUUCCACUUAUAUCUUGUUAGUCAUUCAGGCAUCCUUUGAUGUUGUUAUUGGGCACUUUUGACCAAAGAUGCUGUAUCCAAUCUUUUUAUAAUAUUUAAGCAAGAAGCAAAGUCAAAGAGUGAAUAUUAAUUAGUAAAAUGCAUAUUGUAACAUACAGAUUCACAUUCUCAUUGUUAGUAGUGCAAAAAAUAUUUUUUCCUCUCAGUGAAAGUAGUAGUGUAGGUUCAAAAAGGUGACUGUCCAUUAGGGGAUGAGUCAAGGCUGUGAUGAUGCAGGCCCUGCUUGUUUUGCUAUAAGAGACUCUUCUUGUUUCAUCAGACUUUGGGGGAGCAAGCAGAUUUGGUACAGCUGUGCUGCUGCCUAAUGAAUUGCUGUGUGUAUUAGGUGGACCUGCCCAGGUCUUAGGGUGGUAAAACAUCCAGGUGAGUUAAAUAUCAGCACCUUGGAGCUUUCCUUGUGAGGUGCCCAGGCAUGACUGAUUAGGAGGAGCUGCUGCUGUCAGGACAGUUAUGCAGGUAGAGGCCCUGUCCUCCCUCCCUGGCCAAGUGGGGAAGCCCCUGAAAAGUGAGCUGGUCUAGGCUGAGAAUGGUGACCAGGUUCAGCCACAGAUCAGACAUCGCUAGUAAAUGCCAGGAGAGUGUCUGUGUCUCAGCCACACCAGCACCACCACAUCCAUGCCCUCAGGCAAUGCCAGAGGAGAGUGAUCCGGGCUAUGAUGUGUGCUGCAAGAGCAGAAAUCUGAAAGUAUUUUCUGGCAAAAUAUAAAUUUAUCUGGAAUUACAAACUUUAUGAUAUCAACUCACAUCUAUACAAUGAAUGUAUAUAAUUGAAUUAAAUCAAAAUCAGGUAAGAAAGCUUGCAUGCUCAACAGGUUCCUGUUGUGGUGGUAUGUUUCACCUACGUUGUUCAGCUGCUUGUCAUUGCAGCUAUCUGUAUAAAGC
This is a long non-coding RNA of Anser brachyrhynchus (Pink-footed goose), 1078 nucleotides long. The record is from Ensembl. NCBI's taxonomy places the organism in Eukaryota, Metazoa, Chordata, Aves, Anseriformes, Anatidae.